AUCAUUACAGAGAUCGUGCCCUCACGGGUAGACCUCCCACCCUGUGUUAUUUACCUUUGUUGCUUUGGCAGGCCGCCUUCGGGCCCGCGGCUUCGGCUGGGGAGCGCCUGCCAGAGGACCAACCAACCCUAUUGUAUAUCUGUCGUCUGAGUACUAUAUAAUAAGUUAAAACUUUCAACAACGGAUCUCUUGGUUCUGGCAUCGAUGAAGAACGCAGCGAAAUGCGAUAAGUAAUGUGAAUUGCAGAAUUCAGUGAAUCAUCGAAUCUUUGAACGCACAUUGCGCCCCUUGGUAUUCCGGGGGGCAUGCCUGUUCGAGCGUCAUUUCAACCCUCAAGCUCAGCUUGGUCUUAGGCUCUGCCCGUUCAACGGCUUGCCUUAAAAGCAAUGGCGGUGCCGUCGAGCUCUACGCGUAGUAAUUCUACCCUCGCGUGUGAGCCCUCGACGUGCGCUGGCCAACAACCCCUCACUUCUUAUAGUUGACCUCGAAUCAGGUAGGGAUACCCGCUGAACUUAAGCAUAUCAAUAAGCGGAGGAA
This 537-nucleotide ribosomal RNA is filed under the name uncultured fungus. Its description in RNAcentral is "eukaryotic LSU rRNA". The stretch from base 170 to 323 matches the Rfam family "5.8S ribosomal RNA". Lineage: Eukaryota; Fungi. The record is from RNAcentral.